This is an RNA transcript of Beta vulgaris subsp. vulgaris (sugar beet), 944 nucleotides long. RefSeq lists it as uncharacterized. The transcript is spliced from 6 exons. The record is from RefSeq and is a predicted model, not a curated record. Lineage: Eukaryota; Viridiplantae; Streptophyta; Magnoliopsida; Caryophyllales; Amaranthaceae.
AACAAAGGAUAAGAAGGGGGUUCGAGAAGGAGAAAGAACAUCCACCGACCACCGCUUAUUAUUUACGAACAUAUCUAAAACUAAAGUCAACACUCGAAACCCUUGAAAACCACAUCUCACUCCAUCUCUCUCUCCUUCUGCUUUCUGUUAAAGUGCCGAUCAGGCUUCCUCUUGCCAUAAGAUUUUAACUGAUUCAACCGUCGAUUUCUGGACAAAUAUGGCUCGCGGCAACCAGAGGGAAACUGAUCGUCAAAGAGCUGCAGCUCGGAACGCCAAGAAGGCCGGAAAAACGAAAGAUGAUGGAUUGACACCGGAGCAACGCCGUGAAAGGGAUGCGAAAGCGCUGCAAGAAAAGACUGCCAAGAAGGCAGCACAGGCGGCAGGAGGCGGCCUCACUGGAAGCAAAACCAGCAAUAAAUGAGAAUUUGAUGUCAUGAAUCAUGAUACAUUGGUGCUGUAGCCGUGGUGGAAAUCACAAGUGCAGAUAGUCGGAGUAGAAGUUGGUGGUAUCGGUGUGGUGGAGUCGAAAUAUGACUGUCCAUGUCUUAAUGUGAUGAACUGGUAUUCUACUACUCUGGGGAGGGCGUGGAAGUCUGCAGCGCUCAUCAGCGUGUGUAAUCGAACCAUGCAGCGCUCAUCAGCAUGUGUAAUCGAACCAUGCAGCGCUCAUCAGCAUGUGUAAUCCAACGAAGCAGUCGUCAGUAGUGCUAUUUGAACUUCCUUCGAUUUAACAAAACCACUCCUAGUAUAUUUUGGCAAUGGAUUGUUUAUGAGCAUACUAGUACAUAUGUAAUCAAGAUAAACAAUUUGUUAAGGGACGUUACAAACAAGCUUAAAAGCUAACAAAUCAAUCAAGUAAAUGUGUCAUACACCUGCUUAGCUACAUUUCUCAGUAGGUUUCUUUACCAAUGAACGGAAGAUUUAUUAUGAAGCGCAUUGCAGUA